UACGUAGGGUGCGAGCGUUAAUCGGAAUUACUGGGCGUAAAGCGUGCGCAGGCGGUUUGUUAAGACAGAUGUGAAAUCCCCGGGCUUAACCUGGGAACUGCAUUUGUGACUGGCAAGCUAGAGUAUGGCAGAGGGGGGGUAGAAUUCCACGUGUAGCAGUGAAAUGCGUAGAGAUGUGGAGGAAUACCGAUGGCGAAGGCAGCCCCC
RNAcentral lists this ribosomal RNA (207 nucleotides) under uncultured bacterium. RNAcentral's name for it is "partial 16S ribosomal RNA". It matches the Rfam family "Bacterial small subunit ribosomal RNA", at positions 524 to 729 of the family's 1533-position model. The record is from RNAcentral.